This 402-nucleotide ribosomal RNA is filed under the name uncultured bacterium. RNAcentral's name for it is "bacterial SSU rRNA". It matches the Rfam family "Bacterial small subunit ribosomal RNA", at positions 355 to 774 of the family's 1533-position model. The record is from RNAcentral.
UGGGGAAUAUUGGGCAAUGGGGGCAACCCUGACCCAGCGACGCCGCGUGGGGGAAGACGGCCUUCGGGUUGUAAACCUCUUUUGUACGGGAAGAAGGAAGUGACGGUACUGUACGAAUAAGUCCCGGCUAACUACGUGCCAGCAGCCGCGGUAAUACGUAGGGGACGAGCGUUGUCCGGAAUUACUGGGCGUAAAGGGCGCGCAGGCUGUGCUGCAAGUCAGCUGUUAAAUGUCUGGGCUUAACCCGGGCAUGCGGUUGAGACUGCAGUGCUGGAGUGCUGUAGAGGCAAGUGGAAUUCCCAGUGUAGCGGUGAAAUGCGUAGAUAUUGGGAAGACACCGGUGCGAAGGCGACUUGCUGGGCAGCAACUGACGCUGAGGCGCGAAAGCCAGGGGAGCAAACG